RNAcentral lists this long non-coding RNA (359 nucleotides) under Neodiprion pinetum (white pine sawfly). RNAcentral's name for it is "uncharacterized LOC124221392". The record is from RNAcentral. Lineage: Eukaryota; Metazoa; Arthropoda; Insecta; Hymenoptera; Diprionidae.
AUAAUAAUCCUUACACAAUACUUUUGAUGUGUUUUGAUACUGGAAAUAUUUCUUAGUAUUCGAGGUUAUACCCCGAAGUGGUUGUUUUUGGUUGUUGGAGGUGGUUGGAGGUGGACGAGGAGGAGGACGAGAAAGAGGAGGCGAACAAGGUGAAAGAGGAGGACGAGGAUUUGUGCUCGGUAUAACCUGAGGUGGUUAUUGGUGGUUAUUGGUGGUUGUUGGGGGCGGUUGGCGGUGGUCGGAGGUGGACGAGGAGGAGGACGAGAAAGAUGAGGAAAACAAGGUGGACGAGGAGGGCGAGGAUUUGUGCUCGGUAUAACCCGAGGUGGUUAUCAGUGGUUGUUGGAGGUGGUCGGAGA